CCCAGGGCCGACCGCGCAGGUCGCUGGUGAAGCACACGGGGCGACAGCGGGCAGGCCUUGCCAU
Molecule: microRNA precursor, 64 nt
Filed under: Canis lupus familiaris (dog)
Lineage: Eukaryota; Metazoa; Chordata; Mammalia; Carnivora; Canidae
Description: Cfa-Novel-2_pre stem-loop
Source: RNAcentral